AGAGUUUGAUCAUGGCUCAGAUUGAACGCUGGCGGCAGGCCUAACACAUGCAAGUCGAACGGUAACAGAAAGCAGCUUGCUGCUUUGCUGACGAGUGGCGGACGGGUGAGUAAUGUCUGGGAAACUGCCUGAUGGAGGGGGAUAACUAUUGGAAACGGUAGCUAAUACCGCAUAACGUCGCAAGACCAAAGAGGGGGACCUUCGGGCCUCUUGCCAUCGGAUGUGCCCAGAUGGGAUUAGCUAGUAGGUGGGGUAAAGGCUCACCUAGGCGACGAUCCCUAGCUGGUCUGAGAGGAUGACCAGCCACACUGGAACUGAGACACGGUCCAGACUCCUACGGGAGGCAGCAGUGGGGAAUAUUGCACAAUGGGCGCAAGCCUGAUGCAGCCAUGCCGCGUGUAUGAAGAAGGCCUUCGGGUUGUAAAGUACUUUCAGCGGGGAGGAAGGGAGUAAAGUUAAUACCUUUGCUCAUUGACGUUACCCGCAGAAGAAGCACCGGCUAACUCCGUGCCAGCAGCCGCGGUAAUACGGAGGGUGCAAGCGUUAAUCGGAAUUACUGGGCGUAAAGCGCACGCAGGCGGUUUGUUAAGUCAGAUGUGAAAUCCCCGGGCUCAACCUGGGAACUGCAUCUGAUACUGGCAAGCUUGAGUCUCGUAGAGGGGGGUAGAAUUCCAGGUGUAGCGGUGAAAUGCGUAGAGAUCUGGAGGAAUACCGGUGGCGAAGGCGGCCCCCUGGACGAAGACUGACGCUCAGGUGCGAAAGCGUGGGGAGCAAACAGGAUUAGAUACCCUGGUAGUCCACGCCGUAAACGAUGUCGACUUGGAGGUUGUGCCCUUGAGGCGUGGCUUCCGGAGCUAACGCGUUAAGUCGACCGCCUGGGGAGUACGGCCGCAAGGUUAAAACUCAAAUGAAUUGACGGGGGCCCGCACAAGCGGUGGAGCAUGUGGUUUAAUUCGAUGCAACGCGAAGAACCUUACCUGGUCUUGACAUCCACGGAAGUUUUCAGAGAUGAGAAUGUGCCUUCGGGAACCGUGAGACAGGUGCUGCAUGGCUGUCGUCAGCUCGUGUUGUGAAAUGUUGGGUUAAGUCCCGCAACGAGCGCAACCCUUAUCCUUUGUUGCCAGCGGUCCGGCCGGGAACUCAAAGGAGACUGCCAGUGAUAAACUGGAGGAAGGUGGGGAUGACGUCAAGUCAUCAUGGCCCUUACGACCAGGGCUACACACGUGCUACAAUGGCGCAUACAAAGAGAAGCGAUCUCGCGAGAGCAAGCGGACCUCAUAAAGUGCGUCGUAGUCCGGAUUGGAGUCUGCAACUCGACUCCAUGAAGUCGGAAUCGCUAGUAAUCGUGGAUCAGAAUGCCACGGUGAAUACGUUCCCGGGCCUUGUACACACCGCCCGUCACACCAUGGGAGUGGGUUGCAAAAGAAGUAGGUAGCUUAACCUUCGGGAGGGCGCUUACCACUUUGUGAUUCAUGACUGGGGUGAAGUCGUAACAAGGUAACCGUAGGGGAACCUGCGGUUGGAUCACCU
This 1530-nucleotide ribosomal RNA is filed under the name Escherichia coli. RNAcentral describes it as "bacterial SSU rRNA". It matches the Rfam family "Bacterial small subunit ribosomal RNA". Lineage: Bacteria; Pseudomonadati; Pseudomonadota; Gammaproteobacteria; Enterobacterales; Enterobacteriaceae. RNAcentral also lists the same sequence under 1 other name. The record is from RNAcentral.